RNAcentral lists this long non-coding RNA (200 nucleotides) under Elaeis guineensis (African oil palm). Its description in RNAcentral is "long non-coding RNA (EGUI_LNC022662)". The record is from RNAcentral. Lineage: Eukaryota; Viridiplantae; Streptophyta; Magnoliopsida; Arecales; Arecaceae.
UUCUUAAAGCUCUUUGUCAACUGUCACGAUCUUUGUUUCGCACCAUAGGGCCUCUUCUGUCGCUCUUUACAUGUUCUCUACUCUAUUUGCCCACAGGUGCUCUCAAGGACCCUAAAACCCAAAUAAAUCAAAAAAAGAAUUCCUAACAGCACUCAAAAAGCCUCUGAACUGUCAGAUCAUGAUCGAACAACCUCAGCCAU